GACGAACGCUGGCGGCGUGCUUAACACAUGCCAGUCGAACGGAAAGGCCCCUUUGGGGGUACUCGAGUGGCGAACGGGUGAGUAACACGUGAGUAACCUGCCCUUGACUUCGGGAUAACUUCAGGAAACUGGGGCUAAUACCGGAUAGGAAUCCUUGCUGCAUGGUGGGGGUUGGAAAGCUUCGGCGGUUUUGGAUGGACUCGCGGCUUAUCAGCUUGUUGGUGGGGUAGUGGCUUACCAAGGCUUUGACGGGUAGCCGGCCUGAGAGGGCGACCGGCCACAUUGGGACUGAGAUGCGGCACAGACUCCUACGGGAGGCAGCAGGGGGGAAUAUUGCACAAUGGGCGGAAGCCUGAUGCAGCAACGCCGCGUGCGGGAUGACGGCCUUCGGGUUGUAAACCGCUUUCAGCAGGGGCGAAGCUUGUGGUGACGUUACCUGCAGAAGAAGCACCGGCUAACUACGUG
Molecule: ribosomal RNA, 465 nt
Filed under: uncultured bacterium
Lineage: Bacteria
Description: partial 16S ribosomal RNA
Rfam family: Bacterial small subunit ribosomal RNA
Source: RNAcentral